GAUGAACGCUGGCGGCGUGCCUAAUACAUGCAAGUCGAGCGAACAGACGAGGAGCUUGCUCCUCUGACGUUAGCGGCGGACGGGUGAGUAACACGUGGAUAACCUACCUAUCAGACUGGGAUAACUUCGGGAAACCGGAGCUAAUACCGGAUAAUAUAUUGAACCUCAUUGUUCAAUAGUGAAAGACGGUUUUGCUGUCACUUAUAGAUGGAUCCGCGCCGCAUUAGCUAGUUGGUAAGGUAACGGCUUACCAAGGCAACGAUGCGUAGCCGACCUGAGAGGGUGAUCGGCCACACUGGAACUGAGACACGGUCCAGACUCCUACGGGAGGCAGCAGUAGGGAAUCUUCCGCAAUGGGCGAAAGCCUGACGGAGCAACGCCGCGUGAGUGAUGAAGGUCUUCGGAUCGUAAAACUCUGUUAUUAGGGAAGAACAAAUGUGUAAGUAACUAUGCACGUCUUGACGGUACCUAAUCAGAAAGCCACGGCUAACUACGUG
This 497-nucleotide ribosomal RNA is filed under the name uncultured bacterium. RNAcentral's name for it is "partial 16S ribosomal RNA". It matches the Rfam family "Bacterial small subunit ribosomal RNA", at positions 28 to 507 of the family's 1533-position model. The record is from RNAcentral.